RNAcentral lists this ribosomal RNA (860 nucleotides) under Escherichia coli. Its description in RNAcentral is "partial 23S ribosomal RNA". It matches the Rfam family "Bacterial large subunit ribosomal RNA", at positions 440 to 1299 of the family's 2925-position model. The record is from RNAcentral. Lineage: Bacteria; Pseudomonadati; Pseudomonadota; Gammaproteobacteria; Enterobacterales; Enterobacteriaceae.
GAAUAUGGGGGGACCAUCCUCCAAGGCUAAAUACUCCUGACUGACCGAUAGUGAACCAGUACCGUGAGGGAAAGGCGAAAAGAACCCCGGCGAGGGGAGUGAAAAAGAACCUGAAACCGUGUACGUACAAGCAGUGGGAGCACGCUUAGGCGUGUGACUGCGUACCUUUUGUAUAAUGGGUCAGCGACUUAUAUUCUGUAGCAAGGUUAACCGAAUAGGGGAGCCGAAGGGAAACCGAGUCUUAACUGGGCGUUAAGUUGCAGGGUAUAGACCCGAAACCCGGUGAUCUAGCCAUGGGCAGGUUGAAGGUUGGGUAACACUAACUGGAGGACCGAACCGACUAAUGUUGAAAAAUUAGCGGAUGACUUGUGGCUGGGGGUGAAAGGCCAAUCAAACCGGGAGAUAGCUGGUUCUCCCCGAAAGCUAUUUAGGUAGCGCCUCGUGAAUUCAUCUCCGGGGGUAGAGCACUGUUUCGGCAAGGGGGUCAUCCCGACUUACCAACCCGAUGCAAACUGCGAAUACCGGAGAAUGUUAUCACGGGAGACACACGGCGGGUGCUAACGUCCGUCGUGAAGAGGGAAACAACCCAGACCGCCAGCUAAGGUCCCAAAGUCAUGGUUAAGUGGGAAACGAUGUGGGAAGGCCCAGACAGCCAGGAUGUUGGCUUAGAAGCAGCCAUCAUUUAAAGAAAGCGUAAUAGCUCACUGGUCGAGUCGGCCUGCGCGGAAGAUGUAACGGGGCUAAACCAUGCACCGAAGCUGCGGCAGCGACGCUGAUGCGUUGUUGGGUAGGGGAGCGUUCUGUAAGCCUGCGAAGGUGUGCUGUGAGGCAUGCUGGAGGUAUCAGAAGUGCGAAUGCUG